This is an RNA transcript of Drosophila ananassae, 1737 nucleotides long. It is a transcript of the gene named glucosamine-6-phosphate isomerase, with no coding region annotated. The transcript is spliced from 5 exons. The record is from RefSeq and is a predicted model, not a curated record. NCBI's taxonomy places the organism in Eukaryota, Metazoa, Arthropoda, Insecta, Diptera, Drosophilidae.
UCCAUCCAAGAGAUACACAAGGGGAGAACCUAAAGUAUCUCUCAGAUGCAAUCCCUGACCAUAAGACCUGCGAUAAGAGCAAAGUAUCUCAAGGUUGCUUCUGCUGCCUGACUGUCGAAUGCAGUUGGCCGGCUUGCGAUUAUUCUCUUUAUCAGUGAGAGCGUUAUUCGACCGCAGAACCGCAAAACAAACUCAAAACCGAGAUAAUCGCCACAUAAAUUGCCAGCCCAAAUGAACAAUUGAACAGUUUCAGUCCGGAGCUCAAAUUGAAAAUAAGCCCGAAGCAGCUAAGCAGUUGCUAAAGUAUCUGGAAGUAAUAUUAACAACAAACACAACCAGCUGUUUGCAUUCGCCUGGGUAUUUAGUUUUGGAGCAGCAAUAUGAGAUUGGUGAUAUUGGAGACCAGCGAUUCGGUGGGCAAGUGGGCCGCCAAAUAUGUGAUGAAGAGGAUCAAUGACUUCCAACCGGGUCCGGAUAGAUACUUCGUGCUGGGGCUGCCAACAGGAUCCACACCACUGGGUAUGUACAGGGAGCUCAUUGAGUUUUACAAACAGGGAAAGGUGUCCUUCCAAUAUGUCAAGACAUUCAACAUGGACGAGUAUGUGGGCCUUCCUCGGGAUCACCAGGAGAGCUACCACUACUUUAUGUGGCACAACUUUUUCAAGCACAUCGACAUCGAACCCAAAAACGUCCACAUCCUAGACGGAAAUGCCGCGGAUCUGGUGGCCGAGUGCAAUAAGUUUGAGGAUCUGAUCCGAGAAGCAGGCGGCGUGGAGCUCUUUAUCGGUGGCAUCGGUCCUGAUGGCCACAUCGCCUUCAACGAGCCAGGAUCAUCGCUGGUCUCAAGGACCCGAGUGAAAACACUGGCACAGGACACGCUCGAGGCGAAUGCCCGCUUCUUCGACAAUGACAUGAGCAAGGUGCCCAAGCAGGCGCUGACUGUGGGCGUGGGCACUGUGAUGGACUCCAAGGAAGUAAUGAUCCUAAUCACCGGUGCCCACAAGGCCUUCGCCCUCUACAAGGCCAUCGAGGAGGGGGUGAACCACAUGUGGACUGUAAGUGCCUUCCAGCAGCACGCCAAUACCCUGAUGAUCUGCGACGAGGACGCCACUUUGGAGCUGCGCGUCAAGACUGUGAAGUACUUUAAGGUAUGCCCGCCAUCGCUUCAGGAUAUCUAAGUAUAUUAAACACUGGGUGCUUAAGUGGUUUUUAAAGGUUCUGGUACUCCAACAUAGUUCCCCAAAAUAGCUUCGUUUACACUUCAAUGGUUGUUGAAUAUUUUUAAGGUCUAACCGGUAGAGUUACUUGCUGACUUUUAACUUACAUGGGGCUUGAUGGUUUUUGGCUAGAAAAUAAGGCUUAGUUAAAAAGAACAGUCUGUUAAUGAUUGGCUGAUCGGCCACUCCCACAAUUUCGCAGGGCAUUCUAAGAGACCUAGACGAGGGCGCUCUUCAGGAGGGCUACACAAACUGAUUUUCGAAGCCUUAUGGAUGUCCACUCCAAGUUGAUAGAGCAACAAAAGACAACGUAACCCACAGUCCAUCAAGGAUCUAUCAUCUAAACUCGCCUAAUAAUUUCAUACCUGCUGCUUGAGUAAAAUUUUUACAAAUAAAAUCAAAACUUGUUUAAUGUUAGUUUAGUAUAAACUUUAUACGAAUUUUGGAAAAAAUUUAUUUGAAAAUAUAUAAUAAUGUUAUAAGAAUAAAUGGUGUGCCUUCACCUCAUAAUAUUUAAAAA